CUUCAACGAGCCCAGCCACAGCGGCCGCCCCUCCGCACGCCCCUGCCCAUAGGUGGCCAGCAACGCCUGCGCCUC
Molecule: non-coding RNA, 75 nt
Organism: Streptomyces sparsogenes DSM 40356
Lineage: Bacteria; Bacillati; Actinomycetota; Actinomycetes; Kitasatosporales; Streptomycetaceae
Rfam family: ASpks TB sRNA
Source: Rfam